RNAcentral lists this ribosomal RNA (159 nucleotides) under uncultured bacterium. RNAcentral's name for it is "partial 16S ribosomal RNA". It matches the Rfam family "Bacterial small subunit ribosomal RNA", at positions 355 to 509 of the family's 1533-position model. The record is from RNAcentral.
UGAGGAAUAUUGGUCAAUGGGCGAGAGCCUGAACCAGCCAAGUCGCGUGAGGGAAGACGGUCCUAUGGAUUGUAAACCUCUUUUGUCGGGGGAGCAAGGCCACUCACGAGUGAGUGGAAGGAGAGUACCCGAAGAAAAAGCAUCGGCUAACUCCGUGCC